This 515-nucleotide ribosomal RNA is filed under the name uncultured bacterium. RNAcentral's name for it is "partial 16S ribosomal RNA". It matches the Rfam family "Bacterial small subunit ribosomal RNA", at positions 28 to 523 of the family's 1533-position model. The record is from RNAcentral.
GAUGAACGCUGGCGGCGUGCCUAAUACAUGCAAGUCGAGCGAAUGGAUUAAGAGCUUGCUCUUAUGAAGUUAGCGGCGGACGGGUGAGUAACACGUGGAUAACCUGCCCAUAAGACUGGGAUAACUCCGGGAAACCGGGGCUAAUACCGGAUAAUAUUUUGAACUGCAUGGUUCAAAAUUGAAAGGCGGCUUCGGCUGUCACUGAUGGAUGGAACCGCGUCGCAUUAGCUAGUUGGUGAGGUAACGGCUAACCAAGGCAACGAUGCGUAGCCGACCUGAGAGGGUGAUCGGCCACACUGGGACUGGGACACGGCCCAGACUCCUACGGGAGGCAGCAGUAGGGAAUCUUCCGCAAUGGACGAAAGUCUGACGGAGCAACGCCGCGUGAGUGAUGAAGGCUUUCGGGUCGUAAAACUCUGUUGUUAGGGAAGAACAAGUGCUAGUUGAAUAAGCUGGCACCUUGACGGUACCUAACCAGAAAGCCACGGCUAACUACGUGCCAGCCGCCGCGGUAA